CCGUCCACUAUGGAUUAAUUAGAAGUAGACGGCGUCGUUUUUCUUCAAAAUUCUCCACUUUCUCGCUCCAAAAGUCUCAUUGCAAUCAAAUUCGUUCGAUCAGUAAUACUAAAAUUCUUCACUCCACGCAGAUCUACUGCAUCUUGCUCUCGUUAUCUUUAAGAGAAUUGAGAAUUAGAAAGUAAAGGCUCCAGCACUUUCUGGAAAAGCUUUUUGACAAAAAAAGGAGAAGGGAAGCUGCAACUGGGUGAAGGAAAAAAUUUCUUCAUGACCUUUUGAAAUUUUCUGCAAUGUCGGGGUUAUUUAAUUCAUCACUCAAUGGGUCAACAUCAAAUCUUCCUGACAGCACUGGGCGCCCAUUAACAUCAUCGUUCUCUGGUCAAUCUGGGGCCGCCUCUCCUGUUUUUCAUCACACUGGAAAUAUUCAGGGACUGCAUAAUAUUCAUGGGAGUUAUAAUGUUCCUAACAUGUCUGGCUCCCUUGGAUCUCGGAAUACAAUAAUGAAUAAUGUCCCUUCUAGUGGGGUCCAACAAGCUGCAAGUAACCUCUCCAGUGGAAGAUUUGCAUCAAAUAAUCUUCCAGGUGCUCUUUCUCAGAUAUCUCACAGCAAUGCACAUGGUCAUUCAGGGAUGGUGAAUAGAGCUGGUAUGAGUGUCAUUGGAAACCAAGGGUAUAGUGGUAGCACAAAUGGAGUUGGUGGUUCUAUUCCUGGGAUUCUCACAACCUCUGCUGCAAUUGGUAAUCGGACUGCUGUUCCAGGGUUAGGCAUUUCUCCGAUUAUGGGGAAUGCUGGCCCACGGAUUACAAGCUCAGUGGGGAACAUAGUAGGUGGGGGUAACAUUGGCAGAAGCAUUAGUUCUGGUGGAGGAUUGUCUGUGCCUGGUCUGGCUUCACGGCUAAACUUAAUUGCCAACAGUAGUUCUGGAAAUAUGAAUGUGCAAGGACAAAACAGGCUUGUGGGCAGUGUGCUUCAACAAGCUUCUCCGCAGGUAAUUUCUAUGUUAGGCAAUUCCUACCCUUCAGCUGGCGGUCCUCUGUCACAAAACCAUGUACAAGCUGUGAAUAACUUUAAUAAUAUGGGGAUGUUGAAUGAUAUGAAUGCCAAUGACGGUUCUCCUUUUGACAUCAAUGAUUUCCCUCAACUGAGCGGUCGUCCCAGUUCUGCUGGUGGUCCUCAAGGACAAUUAGGUUCAUUGCGGAAACAAGGUCUUAGCCCAAUCGUUCAACAAAAUCAAGAAUUUAGUAUUCAAAAUGAAGAUUUUCCGGCCUUACCAGGAUUUAAAGGUGGGAAUACUGACUAUUCUAUGGACUUGCACCAAAAGGAGCAACUUCAGGACAGUUCUGUUUCCAUGAUGCAGCCACAACACUUUUCUAUGGGAAGGUCUUCUGGUUUCAAUUUGGGGGCAUACUCACCUCAUCGGCCACAACAGCAGCAACAACAUGCCCCAUCAGUGAGUAGCGGCGCUGUCCCCUUUUCAACUGUAAACAAUCAGGAUCUACUCCAUUCACAUGGUUCAGACAUGUUUCCAUCAUCUCAUUCAACGUAUCAUGCACAGACCAGUGGACCCCCAGGCAUGGGACUACGACCUUUAAAUUCUCCGAAUUCGGUUUCUAGUGUUGGGUCGUACGACCAGCUUAUACAGCAAUACCAGCAGCAUCAGAACCAGUCCCAAUUUCGCCUACAGCAAAUGUCUUCUGUAGGUCAGCCAUAUCGGGAUCAAGCAAUGAAGCCCAUGCAGGGUGGACAAACCACUUCUGAUCCUUUUGGUUUGCUUGGUUUGUUGAGUGUGAUAAGAAUGAGUGACCCUGAUCUGACUUCUCUUGCCCUUGGAAUUGACCUAACUACCCUUGGAUUGAACUUGAAUUCUUCUGAAAAUCUUCACAAAACAUUUGGUUCCCCAUGGUCUGACGAGCCUACCAAGGGAGAUCCAGAAUUUACUGUGCCACAAUGUUAUUAUGCUAAACAACCGCCACCUUUAAAUCAAGCUUACUUCUCAAAGUUUCAAUUAGAGACUUUAUUUUAUAUCUUCUACAGUAUGCCGAAGGAUGAAGCACAAUUAUAUGCUGCCAAUGAAUUGUAUAACAGAGGUUGGUUCUACCACAGAGAGCAUCGUUUGUGGUUUAUGAGGAAUGCUAACAUGGAGCCACUUGUAAAGAUGAAUGCAUAUGAGAGAGGAUCUUAUGUUUGUUUUGAUCCGAACGCAUGGGAGACAGUCCGCAAGGAUAAUUUUGUUCUCCACUAUGAUAUGGUGGAAAAGAGACCAGCUCUACCUCAACAUUGACGACAUAUGCUGUUUAAAUGUACACCUACAGGUUCAACUAAUAUGUUAGGACAGAAGUAAGCUCGUGCUUAGUCUUUCUUCUUUUUGGCAACUAAUCUUUUUCUCAUGGAAUAGCAGGGGUGUAACUGAGAGCAUUUGAAGAAAUUGUGGGACAUGCUAUAAUAGCUAUGAAGCUGUAAAAUGAAGGCCGUCUGCAGAUCUGAUAAUCUUGUGACGAAUUCAAUAGUUUAGAAAUUUUUCAGUGAACUCAAAACUUGUAUGGAAAUGUAGUGUUCUUGUAAGUUAAGAACAUGUCCUUUUUAUUUUAACAUUCUCUUUUAAAGUCUAGCAUUUAUAAUACUCUCUGUUGCAGUUUCUAGUAAAUUUUUCUGUAUUAACCCAUUUCUGUAUAUUAAGUUGUUUCAUGCGGUGUUCCCUUU
RNA transcript from Olea europaea var. sylvestris, 2701 nucleotides. It is a transcript of the gene named probable NOT transcription complex subunit VIP2, with no coding region annotated. The transcript has 16 exons. The record is from RefSeq and is a predicted model, not a curated record. NCBI's taxonomy places the organism in Eukaryota, Viridiplantae, Streptophyta, Magnoliopsida, Lamiales, Oleaceae.